UUCNACUCUUCNAAAUUAACCCUUUAAUAUUAUUGAACAAUUCUAUGUGCCAUAGAAAUUUCCAUGUUAAAACUAGUAACAAGAAGAAGACCUUCUCUUUGAUGUACUUUUAAGCCAGAUAGGACAUACCACUGGCAAUUAACACGUCUAACAAAAGUAAAAACUUAACUAGAAAAACUUACUAUUCUAAAUGUUAAACUUACACAAGGACAUCUCAAGAAAGAUUUAAAGAAAAAGAAGGAACUCGGCAAACAUUAGCCCCGCCUGUUUACCAAAAACAUCGCCUCUUGAAAAAUAUAAGAGGUCCAGCCUGCCCUGUGACUCUGUUUAACGGCCGCGGUAUCCUAACCGUGCGAAGGUAGCGCAAUCACUUACCCUUUAAAUGAGGGCUAGUAUGAAUGGCAUCACGAGGGCUAUACUGUCUCCUUUUUCUAAUCAGUGAAACUAAUCUCUCCGUGAAGAAGCGGGGAUAAAGCCAUAAGACGAGAAGACCCUAUGGAGCUUUAAAUGAAGCAACACUUAUUAUUUUUUAACCCAAUCUCAGGAAGCUAACUUUUAAGAUAAUAUUAUGUUUGCUAAUUUUCGGUUGGGGCGACCGCGGAGCAAAAAUCAACCUCCACGUUGUAAGGACCCUCCCUUAACAAAAAGCUACAACUUAAUGUAUCAACAAACUGACAUUCAUUGACCCAUAAUUUGAUCAACGAACCAAGUUACCCUAGGGAUAACAGCGCAAUCUACUUCAAGAGUUCAUAUCGACAAGUGGGUUUACGACCUCGAUGUUGGAUCAGGGUAUCCUAGUGGCGCAGCCGCUACUAAA
This 817-nucleotide ribosomal RNA is filed under the name Gastrotheca recava. RNAcentral describes it as "partial 16S ribosomal RNA". It matches the Rfam family "Bacterial large subunit ribosomal RNA", at positions 1454 to 2569 of the family's 2925-position model. Lineage: Eukaryota; Metazoa; Chordata; Amphibia; Anura; Hemiphractidae. The record is from RNAcentral.